This 397-nucleotide transfer-messenger RNA is filed under the name Paludibacteraceae. RNAcentral describes it as "UBA4345 sp002396385 Standard tmRNA". It matches the Rfam family "transfer-messenger RNA". Rfam says of the family: Bacterial tmRNA, also known as 10Sa RNA or SsrA, is named for its dual tRNA and mRNA-like properties. Its role is to liberate the mRNA from a stalled ribosome. The record is from RNAcentral. Lineage: Bacteria; Pseudomonadati; Bacteroidota; Bacteroidia; Bacteroidales. RNAcentral also lists the same sequence under 1 other name.
GGGGUUGACUGGACUUGACAGCGGGUAGAGACGGUAUGUAAGCAUGCAGUGCGCUGGUGGCUAGCACUAUAAUCUGGAGACCAAAAAUUUAACUGGCGAAAACAACUACGCUCUCGCUGCCUAAUCGAAGUACAGUAGAUAGGCUUGAUCUCGGCACCAGGUGCUGAGACGGGACUUCUCCCAAGCGCCCAUGCCCUGAGGCUACUUGAUACGGAGGAGCAGAUAAAUCGGGGAUAGUCUUGUUUGGCCUCGCAAACAGGAUGAGAUUUAGAGGAUAAGGUCGCGGUUGGAUGGCUCAGGUCUUGCUUCGACUCGAAAAUUUAAACUGCAGCUAAGCAUGUAGAAAGCCUAUUGGCUCCUCGUUUGGACGAGGGUUCGAAUCCCUCCAGCUCCACCC